AUAUAAGUAGGCGGUGAAAAAUGAACCAAAUGGGAUUCCUUAAGUAAUUGCGAAUGAACAAGGAAAUGCUCAGCUUGAAAAAUGGGGCCUUUGGCUUUGAAUUGUAAUUUUGAAAUGUAUUGCCAAUGGAGGCGCAGGUGCAAGCCUAUUGAAAGAAAGCGUCAAUGAGGGUGAGAUUCCUUUUUGUCAUUUGCAGUCCUCCGUGCACGGUAUAUAUUUGACGAGUCACACUCCUCGGCAUUGGAAUGCAAAGUGGGUGGUAAAUUCCAUGUAAAGGUAAAUAUAUUAUUGAGACUGAUAGCAAACAAGUACCAUGAGGGAAAUAUGAAAAGGACUUUGAAAAGAGAAUUAAAAGAGUCUGCAUUUGCUGAACAGAAAGCAAACAGAAUUGAUUUUACUUGGUGAGAUUGUUGUGCUUACUCUAUCAUUUAUAUGGUUGAUGUGGGUGCGAUGGUUCUUACCUUGAAUGUCAGCUUCUAUUUCUGCAAAUCAUUACCCUUGCACAUGAAUGGUAAUUUGCCUGCGGGUAUUGGAAUGCAUGUGUUUGCAAUGAUUUGUGAUUUGACGCAUGUGUUUGGUGAAAUUUGUAUAUGCUCUUUUGUCGAAGGGGAAAGCUUACUUUUUUGAGCAUUGCAAGCCCUUACACAUCAGUGCUGGCAAAAUGUUUCUGCUU
RNAcentral lists this ribosomal RNA (673 nucleotides) under Alexandrium minutum. Its description in RNAcentral is "eukaryotic LSU rRNA". It matches the Rfam family "Eukaryotic large subunit ribosomal RNA", at positions 40 to 645 of the family's 3401-position model. Lineage: Eukaryota; Dinophyceae; Gonyaulacales; Pyrocystaceae. The record is from RNAcentral.